GACGAACGCUGGCGGCGUGCUUAACACAUGCAAGUCGAACGGAAAGGCCCUGCUUUUGUGGGGUGCUCGAGUGGCGAACGGGUGAGUAACACGUGAGUAACCUGCCCUUGACUUUGGGAUAACUUCAGGAAACUGGGGCUAAUACCGGAUAGGAGCUCCUGCUGCAUGGUGGGGGGUGGAAAGUUUCGGCGGUUGGGGAUGGACUCGCGGCUUAUCAGCUUGUUGGUGGGGUAGUGGCUUACCAAGGCUUUGACGGGUAGCCGGCCUGAGAGGGUGACCGGCCACAUUGGGACUGAGAGACAGCCCAGACUCCUACGGGAGGCAGCAGUGGGGAAUAUUGCACAAUGGGCGGAAGCCUGAUGCAGCAACGCCGCGUGCGGGAUGACGGCCUUCGGGUUGUAAACCGCUUUCGCCUGUGACGAAGCGUGAGUGACGGUAAUGGGUAAAGAAGCACCGGCUAACUACGUG
RNAcentral lists this ribosomal RNA (468 nucleotides) under uncultured bacterium. RNAcentral describes it as "partial 16S ribosomal RNA". It matches the Rfam family "Bacterial small subunit ribosomal RNA", at positions 28 to 507 of the family's 1533-position model. The record is from RNAcentral.